Molecule: long non-coding RNA, 522 nt
Organism: Felis catus (domestic cat)
Lineage: Eukaryota; Metazoa; Chordata; Mammalia; Carnivora; Felidae
Exons: 2
Source: RefSeq, a predicted model, not a curated record
UGUGAUUAUUACGGUAUUUGUCUCCCUCUAUGAAGUCCUCACCUGAAGGGACCCUCACUCAUUCAUCUUGCCUGCCACACGAUGUGAGUUUCCAGCCUGUACAAUUGCCCUCGGAUUGGGACAUGACACCCAGGAAAGGCACUUCCUGGCACCGAGGGACAAAAGGCCACUGAAUUAGGAAAACCUGACUCUUGAUCAGAGAUGCUUCUCAAGAAAGCUCUUGAUCAGAAGAAGGAAAUGUGGAAAUAAAAGGAAACCUCAGUAAAAUGGAGUCAAAGAGGCUAGAAGGGGGAGCUCUCCUGCCAUACCACUCAACCUCAAUGACAGAAAGAACUGUCAGUUUACAGACCCCAACAGGAAAAGCUGUACACGGCAAACUCCUAGAAGAAACUGACUACCCAGCAACUCAGCCAAUGAGAAAUCAUCACGACUCUGGACUUGCAGGCACUUUUGUUCAAAACAACCCCUCCCAACUUCCUCCUCCUUCUGUUUUAAAUAAAGUUUCUCUCUUUUGCUUACCUA